This 99-nucleotide small nuclear RNA is filed under the name Vombatus ursinus (common wombat). The record is from RNAcentral. Lineage: Eukaryota; Metazoa; Chordata; Mammalia; Diprotodontia; Vombatidae.
UUACUUUACAAGAACAUAUGCUAAAAUUGAAUGAAACAGAGAUCAGCAUAGCCACUGAGCAGGGAUAACACACUAAUUUGUAAAAUGGUUUGUUUUUAA